GUGCUUGCACUGAAUGAGAUGUUAACACGAAGUGAGUGGCGGACGGGUGAGUAACACGUGGGUAACCUGCCCAGAAGCAGGGGAUAACACCUGGAAACAGAUGCUAAUACCGUAUAACAGAGAAAACCGCCUGGUUUUCUUUUAAAAGAUGGCUCUGCUAUCACUUCUGGAUGGACCCGCGGCGCAUUAUGCUAGUUGGUGAGGUAACGGCUCACCAAGGCGAUGAUGCGUAGCCGACCUGAGAGGGUAAUCGGCCACAUUGGGACUGAGACACGGCCCAGACUCCUACGGGAGGCAGCAGUAGGGAAUCUUCCACAAUGGACGCAAGUCUGAUGGAGCAACGCCGCGUGAGUGAAGAAGGGUUUCGGCUCGUAAAGCUCUGUUGUUAAAGAAGAACGUGGGUGAGAGUAACUGUUCACCCAGUGACGGUAUUUAACCAGAAAGCCACGGCUAACUACGUGCCAGCAGCCGCGGUAAUACGUAGGUGGCAAGCGUUAUCCGGAUUUAUAGGGCGUAAAGCGAGCGCAGGCGGUCUUUUAAGUCUAAUGUGAAAGCCUUCGGCUCAACCGAAGAAGUGCAUUGGAAACUGGGAGACUUGAGUGCAGAAGAGGACAGUGGAACU
This 622-nucleotide ribosomal RNA is filed under the name Pediococcus acidilactici. RNAcentral describes it as "bacterial SSU rRNA". It matches the Rfam family "Bacterial small subunit ribosomal RNA", at positions 51 to 668 of the family's 1533-position model. The record is from RNAcentral. Lineage: Bacteria; Bacillati; Bacillota; Bacilli; Lactobacillales; Lactobacillaceae.